Long non-coding RNA from Oreochromis aureus, 321 nucleotides. RefSeq lists it as uncharacterized. The record is from RefSeq and is a predicted model, not a curated record. Lineage: Eukaryota; Metazoa; Chordata; Actinopteri; Cichliformes; Cichlidae. The transcript has 3 exons.
GUGGGACAGACCAUCCAAGAAGUUUGUGCUUCAGUUCUGAUUGAGUUCCAGGACCGUCUUCUCUCCUGGGACUGAACCAAGCCGGGGAACCCAGCGAGCUUUCGUGGGAGAUCACAGUAUCUCAUUCCUGAGGUUUUAGACGUUAAUGAAAGAUGCUUUGCCUCCGGCCACUGGGGGCUAAAUCAACAAGCCUAGGAUUCCUGUUGGCCUUUGUAGAGGAAUACCAAAGACAGAGAGCAGACUCAGCUGAGGUCGGAGACAAAGCACGCAGCUGAAGACGGAAACGCUGUGCCCAAAACAAGCUUGUAUGCAGCGUAGUAA